This 2077-nucleotide long non-coding RNA is filed under the name Gossypium barbadense (sea-island cotton). RNAcentral's name for it is "long non-coding RNA (GBAR_LNC014428)". Lineage: Eukaryota; Viridiplantae; Streptophyta; Magnoliopsida; Malvales; Malvaceae. The record is from RNAcentral.
AAAUAACAAUAAAGAGAACAGAUAAAACGAAAAGAAAAACAACCUUCAACUCUUCACUUUCCAAAAAGCUACUAGCAAGUAACAAAAUGUUGUCUCCCAUCCUCUGCUAAGAAACAAAUCUGCAAGGGAAGCCUAAAUUAACGAUUCCAAACGUCAACCCAACAACGGAUCGGAUCUCCGUCGAUCAUCAUCAGCAAACUUCUUCAAUCAAACAAGUAAAUUAUCCCACCAAGUAGUGUUUCCGGGCAAAAAUCGACAUUCCUGGGCAAUUUGGUGGGCAAGUUGAUUCCUUAUUCUUAGAAUAAACUUAAAUUUACAAUUAUCCAACGAUUUUGCUAUUUGUUUCCCCUCAACAAUAACUGAUCUAUGGACUGACCUAUCGUAUGUUGUGGCUUUCAUUCUUUUGAUGACGGUUUUUGAGUCUCCUUCAACCUCGAGACUGCGAACUCCAACAAGAUAGAAAGAGUUAUCACAUGCUUGCAUACAAUGGCUUCUGCAAAAAAUAGGUCAGUAAUGUUAGAAUUUCUUAUCACUCUGGCCUUUAUUACAACCCCAUCUUCUUUUAUCACAACUAUGCCUAAAAUUGAAUGUUGGCUACAGAAUCGUAAGACGCGUCAAAUUUAGCACGAACCCAUGACCUCUCUAAUAGUUUCCAAAUAGUCAGUUGUUGGUCGUCAUUCCUAGCUCCAACAGUGUUAUGAAUUUUAAAUUCCUCUUAAAAAUGCCUAAUCUAUGUGACCACAUCAGGAGUAUUCUGAGCAACUUUAUCAUGAACCAAUUUGUUUCUAGAAAACCAAAUAGCUCAGAUUGUAAUAAGUGUUAGCUAACGAUUCAAACUAUUCAUGAUUUUGAACAAACUUAUAAACCAAGACUUAAAGUUUUCAUUGUCUCUCAUUGCAGGUCUAUUCAACCCUCAAAGCAUCCUAUAUUUAAUUACCCCUGGGACAGUCACAAAUAAUAGGCCUGUUUGUUUCAACACCGGCCUCACAUCACAAGCAAAUUGUUGUGUCCCUGAGCCUUUUAAUCCACAAAUUAUGAUAGCUAGGAAUAUAGUUGUUAAAAAUCUCCAGUUUAUAAUCUUUACUUUUGAAGGAACUGUAGUGUCCCAUAAGGCUUUAUAGAUAGGUCUAUUAAGAUUGUUACUUCCGAAGCGAAGUUUCUAUAAUUCUUUGUAACCACUUCGAACUAAGUACUCCCUUGUUGGCUCACCUGACCAUGUCAUCCGUCUCUUCAAUUUCAGUUCAAGGAAUUGAGAUGUUGAUGAUAUGCAAGGCAUCAGCAUCACAAAAAAUCUCCCUAAUUAGAGGUACAUUCUAUUGCUUUGUAUCUUGCACAAAGAGAUCAUUUACCAGCAUAAUGUCCUAAUUAAGACAAGGAGUACUAACCAUAUUAUGACCUUCUCCAGAUAGCUAAUUAUCUUCCCAGAUCUGAAUUUGGCUACCAUUACCAAUCUGCCAUUUUGUCCCACUUUUCAACAACCCUCUCGUGGUACAAAUACUAUGCCAAGGUAGUGAAGGGUAAUGACCCAAUCUAGCUUCCAUAAAAGUGGUGUUAGGAUAAUACUUGGCCUUUAAAACAUAUGAAAGUAAUAAACCCUGAUUAGCAAAUAAUCGUCAGCCCCAACGAUCUAGUAAAGCAAUAUUGAACUGACUCAAGCUUCUAAAUCCCAAACCCCUAUUUUUCUUAAGGUCACAAAGGGUAUCCCAAGAACACCAAUGAAUGUCCCUUUCACCAUGUCCUUUUUGCCCCCAAUAUUUUCUAAUAAUAGCUCCCAUCUCCUUACAAAAGGAAUUAGGUAGCAAGAAACAACCAUAGUAUAUGUGAAAAUUACUUUUAAAAUAGACUUAAUAAAAAUUUCUUUCUCAUCCUGUGAUAAUAAGCGAGUACUCUAGUUAUUAAUCCUUAAACGCAAUUGAUCUUUGAGCUUCUAAAACAUCAAUUUCUAAUCACAUCCCACCAUAGUUGGUAAACCCAGAUAGAGCUCAAGAUUACUUGUUACCCUUAUAUCCAAAAUAUUAGUAAUAUGGCCCUACAUAGAAUCCCCAACGUUGCCACUAAAAUAUAUGAGAUAUUUUUC